Molecule: non-coding RNA, 255 nt
Filed under: Vagococcus teuberi
Lineage: Bacteria; Bacillati; Bacillota; Bacilli; Lactobacillales; Enterococcaceae
Description: T-box sequence
Rfam family: T-box leader
About the family: Uncharged tRNA acts as the effector for transcription antitermination of genes in the T-box leader family. T-boxes are found upstream of many aminoacyl-tRNA synthetase genes and some amino acid biosynthetic genes usually in Gram-positive bacteria. The anticodon of a specific tRNA base pairs to a specifier sequence within the T-box motif, and the NCCA acceptor tail of the tRNA base pairs to a conserved bulge in the T-box antiterminator hairpin.
Source: RNAcentral
AUCAUUGCUUUGAAAAGAAGAGUAUAUUUUUGGAUUGUAUAAAGAGACCUCGGAUGGUGAGAAAGAGGAACAAGAAGGAAAUAGAAGAUGGUCUUUGAGCAUAAAAGUAUGAGCGUCUACCGCUAGUAUUUUUCGGGAGUUCCCGUUACCGGACAACAGUAUUUAAAGCGACUCGCUUGCGUACUGGGUAAGAUUAUUAUCGUGAGGUAAUAAUGAAAAAAGGUGGUAACACGAAACAACGCUUUCGUCCUUUGU